Small nuclear RNA from Vulpes vulpes (red fox), 107 nucleotides. NCBI's taxonomy places the organism in Eukaryota, Metazoa, Chordata, Mammalia, Carnivora, Canidae. The record is from Ensembl.
GUACUUUCUUUGGCAGCACAUAUGCAAAAAUUAGAAUGAUACAGGAAAGGUUAGCAUGUCUCCUAUGCAAUAAUGACAUAGAAAUUCGUGAAUUAUUCCAUAUUAAC